Molecule: transfer-messenger RNA, 368 nt
Filed under: fish gut metagenome
Rfam family: transfer-messenger RNA
About the family: Bacterial tmRNA, also known as 10Sa RNA or SsrA, is named for its dual tRNA and mRNA-like properties. Its role is to liberate the mRNA from a stalled ribosome.
Source: RNAcentral
GGGGCUGAUUCAGGAUUCGACAGGAUCAAGAAGGCUCGUGGAGCAUGCCGAGGGGCGGUUGGCCUCGUUAAAAGCCGCAAAAAAAUAGUCGCAAACGACGAAACUUACGCACUAGCAGCUUAAUAACCUGCAUAGAGCCUGCUCUCUCUAGCCUUAGACCGUAGGACGGGGAUUCAGAGCAGUCAAAAACAAACGGUAUCGCGUGGAUAUUUUGACUUGAGAGUUGAAGCGUUAAAACUAAUUCAGGUAUGUCUUUACAUGGCGUGUCAAUCCGCAGUGUACUGACGAGAAUAAAGAUUUGACUAAGCAUGUAGCGCCAUUAGUUAGACUGAUUUUGGACGCGGGUUCAAAUCCCGCCAGCUCCACCA